UUCCACUGUGCAACAUCACUACUGCUCC
Molecule: non-coding RNA, 28 nt
Filed under: Rattus norvegicus (Norway rat)
Lineage: Eukaryota; Metazoa; Chordata; Mammalia; Rodentia; Muridae
Source: RNAcentral